Molecule: ribosomal RNA, 429 nt
Filed under: Acidobacteriota bacterium
Lineage: Bacteria; Pseudomonadati; Acidobacteriota
Description: Acidobacteria bacterium partial 16S ribosomal RNA
Rfam family: Bacterial small subunit ribosomal RNA
Source: RNAcentral
UGGGGAAUUUUGGACAAUGGGGGAAACCCUGAUCCAGCCAUCCCGCGUGUGCGAUGAAGGCCUUCGGGUUGUAAAGCACUUUUGGCAGGAAAGAAACGUCAUGGGUUAAUACCCCGUGAAACUGACGGUACCUGCAGAAUAAGCACCGGCUAACUACGUGCCAGCAGCCGCGGUAAUACGUAGGGUGCAAGCGUUAAUCGGAAUUACUGGGCGUAAAGCGUGCGCAGGCGGUUCGGAAAGAAAGAUGUGAAAUCCCAGAGCUCAACUUUGGAACUGCAUUUUUAACUACCGGGCUAGAGUGUGUCAGAGUGAGGUGGAAUUCCGCGUGUAGCAGUGAAAUGCGUAUAUAUGCGGAGGAACACCGAUGGCAAAGGCAGCCUCCUGGGAUAACACUGACGCUCAUGCACGAAAGCGUGGGGAGCAAACAGG